GACGAACGCUGGCGGCGUGCUUAACACAUGCAAGUCGAACGGUAAGGCCCUUCGGGGUACACGAGUGGCGAACGGGUGAGUAACACGUGGGUGAUCUGCCCUGCACUUCGGGAUAAGCCUGGGAAACUGGGUCUAAUACCGGAUAGGACCCUGGGAUGCAUGUCCUGGGGUGGAAAGCUUUUGCGGUGUGGGAUGGGCCCGCGGCCUAUCAGCUUGUUAGUGGGGUGAUGGCCUACCAAGGCGACGACGGGUAGCCGGCCUGAGAGGGUGACCGGCCACACUGGGACUGAGAUACGGCCCAGACUCCUACGGGAGGCAGCAGUGGGGAAUAUUGCACAAUGGGCGCAAGCCUGAUGCAGCGACGCCGCGUGAGGGAUGACGGCCUUCGGGUUGUAAACCUCUUUCAGCACCGACGAAGCGCAAGUGACGGUAGGUGCAGAAGAAGGACCGGCCAACUACGUGCCCGCCGCCGUAAAAC
Molecule: ribosomal RNA, 478 nt
Filed under: uncultured bacterium
Lineage: Bacteria
Description: partial 16S ribosomal RNA
Rfam family: Bacterial small subunit ribosomal RNA
Source: RNAcentral